RNAcentral lists this unclassified non-coding RNA (378 nucleotides) under plant metagenome. Its description in RNAcentral is "partial contains 5.8S ribosomal RNA, internal transcribed spacer 2, and large subunit ribosomal RNA". The stretch from base 1 to 105 matches the Rfam family "5.8S ribosomal RNA", at positions 50 to 154 of the family's 154-position model. The record is from RNAcentral.
GAAAUGCGAUAAGUAAUGUGAAUUGCAGAAUUCAGUGAAUCAUCGAAUCUUUGAACGCUCCUUGCGCUCCUUGGUAUUCCUUGGAGCAUGCCUGUUUGAGUAUCAUGAAAUCUUCAAAGUAAAUCUUUUGUUAACUCAAUUGGUUUCUACUUUGGUAUUGGAGGUCUUUGCAGCUUCACACCUGCUCCUCUUUGUUCAUUAGCUGGAUCUCAGUGUUAUGCUUGGUUCCACUCGGCGUGAUAAGUUAUCUAUCGCUGAGGACACUGUAAAAGGUGGCCAAGGUAAAUGCAGAUGAACCGCUUCUAAUAGUCCAUUGACUUGGACAAUACUUUUAUGAUCUGAUCUCAAAUCAGGUAGGACUACCCGCUGAACUUAAGC